GGGAUAUUGCACAAUGGGGGGAACCCUGAUGCAGCGACGCCGCGUGAGUGAAGAAGUAUUUCGGUAUGUAAAGCUCUAUCAGCAGGGAAGAAAGACCCUUCGGGGGGAUGACGGUACCUGACUAAGAAGCCCCGGCUAACUACGUGCCAGCAGCCGCGGUAAUACGUAGGGGGCAAGCGUUAUCCGGAUUUACUGGGUGUAAAGGGAGCGUAGACGGAACAGCAAGUCUGAUGUGAAAUCCCACGGCUCAACCGUGGAACUGCAUUGGAAACUGUUGAUCUUGAGUACCGGAGGGGUGAGCGGAAUUCCUGGUGUAGCGGUGAAAUGCGCAGAUAUCAGGAAGAACACCGGCGGCGAAGGCGGCUCACUGGACGGUAACUGACGUUGAGGCUCGAAAGCGUGGGGAGCAAACA
RNAcentral lists this ribosomal RNA (413 nucleotides) under uncultured bacterium. Its description in RNAcentral is "bacterial SSU rRNA". It matches the Rfam family "Bacterial small subunit ribosomal RNA", at positions 358 to 774 of the family's 1533-position model. The record is from RNAcentral.